GGCCUUACAAAGGCAAAAGAGAAGGGCACAUAAUGCUAAUCGGUUAGCAAUCAUUAUCGCCUUCUUAAAAUGAUUCAUCGCUCAACCCUCCCAACAGACAAUGGGGUGGAUGGAAACAUGGCACUCUGCAAAUGGAAUUAGAAUAGCGUGAAAGAGAUGGAGAUAGUAAGAGAGGAAUCUUUUCUUGGAUUAAGACAUAGGAGAGGCCCUCCAAGACGUCCUUAAAAAGAAAAUUGGCCCUUGCAAUUAGGGAGUGUUUGAUAACAGGAAGACAUUUCGUUGAGAAGUUCUCAGUACUGUUCAAGUUCCGUGUUUGAUAAAAAAAAGGAACUUCGUAUCACAACUUUCCAUCUUCCCGUCUCGCGUUAAAAAAAAGUUAUGUCCUAAAGGUCGGAACUCAAAAUAGGAAGUUUGUUACUUCAUACCCUUUCGAUAACCCUUGGCUCUUUACACGCCAUCACCGCUGAGAACCCCUUCUCCGCUGAGUACGCGUUCUCCGUUGAGGACGCCUUCGCCGUUGAGCACCCAUUCGCUGCUAAGCACCCCUCUCUUCGCAGCACGAACCCUCUGUUCUUCGAGUUUACCCGUUGAUCUAAGGAUGGAUCCAAACACAUCAUCAAGCAUAGCGAUUGAGAUUAUACGAUCCAAGAGGAACUUGCAAUGGACACAGGCAGAAGAUGAUCAUUUCAUUGAACUUAUGGAAAAGGAGAGUAGAGUUGUAUCCAAAGCAAGCGAGGGGGGGGUUUAAAAAGGUUCCUGGAAACAGAUGGUAGAAGCAAUGGCAAUUAAGUUUGGGCCAAUAAAAAAAAAAGUAGGUUAAAGAGCAAGUACAAGUUCUUCAAAAUCAUGUACAGUGACAUAACAAAACUUAUGAAUGUAUCCAAGUUUGGAUGGGAUGAAAGGAGGAAGAUAGUAACAGCCGAGAGUGCAGUUUGGAUUGACUUCUAAGCGGAGAAUGAAUGGGCAAAUAAAUAUCAUAACAAGACUUUGCCCCUAAUAUUCACUGCUAAGUAAGAUCUAUGAAGGCAACACAACAGAUGUGACAUACAAAUCGACUGGGGGUGGCAUUACCAUUGAGCCAGAAAGGCCCGAAACUGCAUUCUCUAAUGACCCUCCCCGCAGAAGUCCAGGUCCAAUCUAGCUCAUCCUCAUCUGAUGACCAAGUAUCAUUUGGAUCAAAAAGAUGACGGACCCAUACUCCGAUAGGAACACAAUGCCAAUCAAAGGAACCCACCUUCGAUGACUCCAUGACUAAAGUUAUGAUAGAGGUGGCCGAAAGCAUUAAGAUGCUAGCACGUGAAACUGCAGGUAACAACAGUACUCCUAUGGUAGAUGGUCCAUCCAAGGUUAGGAGAGACGCCUUUAAGAUUGUUGAAGACACGUGGAGAGCAAUUGAAGUUGGUGAUAAUGCCUUUGUAAUGGCGGCAAGGAUCUUUCAAGAUUCUACAAAGACAGAGAUAUUAUUAAACUUACCGCAUCAAAAGAUACGACAGGCUUACUUGGACGAAUACCUCUAAAUACUUGAUUGACUAUGUUUACUUUAUGGUUUCCAUGGUAUAAAUAUGUAUGUGGACGACUUCUU
Amborella trichopoda is the source of this 1582-nucleotide long non-coding RNA. RefSeq lists it as uncharacterized. The record is from RefSeq and is a predicted model, not a curated record. NCBI's taxonomy places the organism in Eukaryota, Viridiplantae, Streptophyta, Magnoliopsida, Amborellales, Amborellaceae.